RNAcentral lists this long non-coding RNA (1029 nucleotides) under Oryctolagus cuniculus (rabbit). RNAcentral describes it as "lncRNA (ENSOCUG00000033321.1)". Lineage: Eukaryota; Metazoa; Chordata; Mammalia; Lagomorpha; Leporidae. The record is from RNAcentral.
AUGAUUCCUGCCCCCCACACACAUCCUGGGAACGGGCUCCUCUUCGGUGGCCAAGUGCACAAGGCCGGAUCCCCCAGCAGGAGCAAGGCGGAUGCAUUUCACAAGGGCCUUGUCUCAGAACUCAGGGCCUCUUCAACAUCCACACACACACACACAUGCACACACAUGCACGCACAGGCACACAUAUGCACACACGCACACAUGCACACACGCACAUACAUGUACACAUAUGUAUACACACGUGCAGACCUGCACACACAUGCACACACAUACGUGCACACAGGCACACACAUGCAUGCACAGGCACACACAUGCACAUACACACAUGCGCACAGACAUACACACAUGCACACACGCACACACAUACACGCACGCACAUGCACACACAUGCACGCACACGUAUGCACACAUAUGCACACAUACACAUGCGCACAGACAUACACAUACAUACAUGCACACAUGCACACACACGCAAACAGGCAGACAUGCACACGCACACAUAUGCAUACAUGCACACGUGCACACAUACACAUACAUACACGCAUGCGUGCACGCACACACAUACACACACGCACACACAUACAUGCACACGCACACAUGCACGUACAUGCACGCACACGCACACAUACACACAUGCACACAGACAUACACAUACAUACACACAUGCACACAUGCACACACAUACGCACACACAUGCAUGCACACGUGCACAUACACACAUGCACACAGACAUACACAGACAUACACACAUGCACACACGCACACACAUACACACACGCACACACUGCUGCAGAUGUGAAACGUCUGUUCCAGACAUUUCACGCAGCCUGGGCACGCUCAAGUUCAAAUACAGAGAUCAUGGAAGUGACCCACACUAGCAUGAGGUCUCUAGCGUGGGGGGGGAACCACAGCUCAGUGACUCCCUGCACCCCUCAUAGGAAAACACAGAGAACUGCCAAGGGUUCGACACUUGACAACCAGGGCUCCCACGAAUUAAUUACCCUCUUAGCCUCUAUCUUUAUUUAUUGA